ACAUCGGAACGUGUCCUGGAGUGGGGGAUAGCCCGGCGAAAGCCGGAUUAAUACCGCAUACGCUCUGAGGAGGAAAGGGGGGGAUCGAAAGACCUCUCGCUCAAGGGGCGGCCGAUGGCAGAUUAGCUAGUUGGUGGGGUAAAGGCCUACCAAGGCGACGAUCUGUAGCUGGUCUGAGAGGACGACCAGCCACACUGGGACUGAGACACGGCCCAGACUCCUACGGGAGGCAGCAGAGGGGAAUUUUGGACAAUGGGCGCAAGCCUGAUCCAGCAAUGCCGCGUGUGUGAAGAAGGCCUUCGGGUUGCUAAGCACUUUCGUCCGGAAAGAAAUCCUCUGGGUUAAUACCUCGGGGGGAUGACGGUACCGGAAGAAUAA
RNAcentral lists this ribosomal RNA (378 nucleotides) under uncultured bacterium. RNAcentral's name for it is "bacterial SSU rRNA". It matches the Rfam family "Bacterial small subunit ribosomal RNA", at positions 115 to 489 of the family's 1533-position model. The record is from RNAcentral.